AGAAAAAGACUUUUUUCUCCUAGUCCUUCCCAGAGUUCCAAAGAGAAAGAACAAGAGAAAUUAGGAAAAGUGAGGGAUCACAGAAACAAAGGAAAAGCAGUUAAAUAAGAAAAGUAAUGGCAAUAGUACAGCAAUAAAAUAGCCCUAGUUCCUCCUCAAGGCAUAUACACACAAUUUGACACACACCUUCGAGCUGUUCUGCAGAAACUACGACCACCUCCAUCCAGGAGGAGGACACACCAGCACUGACCCCAGGCUGGUUGGAACCAGAAGGAUGAUGAUGAAGAUUCCUGGAGCACCACGCUGUCACCUCCCCACCAACCAAUCAGAAGAAAGUCAUGCACCCUGCAGCCCUCACCCAAACGUUGCCCUUAAAAAUUCUUCCCUGAAGGAGUUCCCCUUGUGGCUCAGCAGAAAUGAAUUUGACUAGUAUCCAUGAGGACACGGGUUCAAUUCCUGGCCUCGCUCAGUGGGUUAAGGAUCUGGCAUUGCUGUGACCUCUGAUGUAGGUUGAAGAUGAAGCUUGGAUCCAGUAUUGCUGAAACAUAGAUGGGCAGCUUUAGCUCCGAUUUGACCCUUAGCCUGGGAACUUCCACCUGCCACGGGUACAUCCCUAAAAAGACCAAAAAAAAAAAAAAAUUCUUCCCUGAAGACCAUCAGGGUGUUUCUCCAAAUCAACCCUUACUUUACUGCAAAUGUCAGCUAUCAGGGUUUGGCUCUCUGAACCACAGCACAAGAUUGCUUGCUGGGUAACAAAAGGAUAAAGGAACUUCUCAUGUGCUUUUUGCUAAAGUUAGGCCAGACCAAAAUUGCAACACACGCUUCAGUUACUCUGAGGUUAUAAGCCAAUGGUGAGGGGUGUGGAAAAUGGGCUGAUUUAUAAAUACCACUUGGUGGUAUAUGAAAAAUGUAUCAUCAGUGUUUUUACCUAUAAAUUAAUAGGGCCUUCUAUUAAGAUACUGUGAUGAUUUUUUUUUUUUUUUUUUUUUUUUUUUUUUUUUUUUGGCUGUGCGUGCAGCAUGCAGAAGUUCCCAGGCCAGGGAUGGAACUUGCACCACAGCAGUGAUGAUGGCAAGUCCUUAACCCGUUGGCCACCAGAGUACUCUGAAUCCUGUUUUAAUUAUAUACUUAAACCUGGAAAGAGUAGAGUAUGUAUACAUACACACUUAAGGAAGGGUCAUUUUGAUUUUCAAGUUGAAGUUUGGUUAGCAGUCUUUAUAUACUCUAUUUUAAUGUACCAUUACCUGCAAAAACAAAAUAGGUCACGUCUUUCCAAAUAAACAAAAGGAGACAUUCAGGAAACAAAAGGAGACAUUCUUGAAACUUGGCAUUAUUCCUUCUCCCAAUUCAGAGUAAGGUCCAAAAG
This 1366-nucleotide long non-coding RNA is filed under the name Sus scrofa (pig). RNAcentral describes it as "lncRNA (ENSSSCG00060061565.1)". Lineage: Eukaryota; Metazoa; Chordata; Mammalia; Artiodactyla; Suidae. The record is from RNAcentral.